GUAGGUGGCAAGCGUUGUCCGGAAUUAUUGGGCGUAAAGGGAGCGCAGGCGGGAAGGUAAGUCUAUCUUAAAAGUGCGGGGCUCAACCCCGUGAGGGGAUGGAAACUAUCUUUCUUGAGUGCAGGAGAGGAAAGCGGAAUUCCUAGUGUAGCGGUGAAAUGCGUAGAUAUUAGGAGGAACACCAGUGGCGAAGGCGGCUUUCUGGACUGUAACUGACGCUGAGGCUCGAAAGCGUGGGGAGCGAACAGGAUUAGAUACCCUGGUAGUCCACGCCGUAAACGAUGAAUGCUAGGUGUAGGAGGUAUCGACCCCUCCUGUGCCGGAGUUAACGCAAUAAGCAUUCCGCCUGGGGAGU
RNAcentral lists this ribosomal RNA (355 nucleotides) under uncultured bacterium. Its description in RNAcentral is "bacterial SSU rRNA". It matches the Rfam family "Bacterial small subunit ribosomal RNA", at positions 527 to 881 of the family's 1533-position model. The record is from RNAcentral.